UUAUGAUGAUGUCAGUCUAUCUACUGCUGGUGAUGCUGGGACUCUUUGUACAAGGAUCAAUGGCAGAUAUAGUUCUGACUCAGUCUCCAGUAGCUCGGUCUGUUCAGAUGGGAGACACUGUCUCUAUCAGCUGUACAGCCAGUGAGAGUGUUUACUACUCCGAUAUUAGCGAGAACUUCCUCAGCUGGUACCUGCAGAAACCUGGUCAGGCUCCUAAACUUCUGAUUUACUGGGCCACAAAUCGCCAGUCUGGGAUUCCUGAUCGUUUCAGUGGGAGUGGAUCUGGGACUCAGUUCACACUGAAAAUCACUGGAGUCCAGGCUGAAGAUGCAGGAGAUUAUUACUGUCAGUGUUUAGAUAUCAGUGGUAGCGUGGUGUUCACACAGUGAUAGAGAGCCGUACAAAAACCUCCCUCAGUCAGACUGCACAGAGACUGCACUGCUGCAGCUGGGACCUACUGCAGGUGCUGAGGGGGGAGUCACUGAUCUGUGACCCUGAGGGGCUCUGCUCAAAUUCUGAGCUGUUUUAUGCAUUAAUAUCUCUCAUAUUCUGAUAUUUAAUUAAAUUUAGCCAAAUGUUAAUGUGAGCACAUCCAAACCUUCCUGUUAUGAUCCAUUUUAAUUAUAUUAGCAUAAACCUUUCAUUGAAGGAAUACACUUGAGAUACUGGCACUUAUACACUUGAGAUAUAAGUACUUUGUAAACUCAAAGAAAAGAUGCACAGAUUUAACUAAAGACUGGAGUGGUGA
Anguilla anguilla (European eel) is the source of this 748-nucleotide long non-coding RNA. RefSeq lists it as uncharacterized. The record is from RefSeq and is a predicted model, not a curated record. The transcript has 2 exons. NCBI's taxonomy places the organism in Eukaryota, Metazoa, Chordata, Actinopteri, Anguilliformes, Anguillidae.